CACCUCGUACUCCCGUUGAAUGGAGUAAUCCUAAACUCCUCUGUGAACUUCGACCUUGAGCCCAAAUCAGUAAGCGCAAGUUUGUUUUGUUCAACCAGCUUGGCUCUAUCGUCGGGAUGGACUUUCUCUAUAAAUCGCUCAAAGGAGAAAGGCUCUUCUCCCGGC
This 165-nucleotide unclassified non-coding RNA is filed under the name plant metagenome. Its description in RNAcentral is "partial contains 5.8S ribosomal RNA, internal transcribed spacer 2, and large subunit ribosomal RNA". The record is from RNAcentral.